This 98-nucleotide ribosomal RNA is filed under the name Chrotopterus auritus. Its description in RNAcentral is "partial 16S ribosomal RNA". Lineage: Eukaryota; Metazoa; Chordata; Mammalia; Chiroptera; Phyllostomidae. The record is from RNAcentral.
AAAANNGGACUCCUUGAUCCCAAGCGCCUUACAGUUUAACAGAUGACAUAAUCUUAAUCUAACAGACGGCCCCCAUANCCACCCCUAGACCAGGGCUC